Molecule: ribosomal RNA, 423 nt
Filed under: uncultured bacterium
Lineage: Bacteria
Description: partial 16S ribosomal RNA
Rfam family: Bacterial small subunit ribosomal RNA
Source: RNAcentral
GAAUUUUGGACAAUGGGCGAAAGCCUGAUCCAGCAAUGCCGCGUGCAGGAUGAAGGCCUUCGGGUUGUAAACUGCUUUUGUACGGAACGAAAAGCUUUGGGUUAAUACCCUGGAGUCAUGACGGUACCGUAAGAAUAAGCACCGGCUAACUACGUGCCAGCCGCCGCGGUAAUACGUAGGGUGCAAGCGUUAAUCGGAAUUACUGGGCGUAAAGCGUGGGCCGGGGGGUUUGGUAGACAAGGGUGAAAUCCCCGGGGUCAACCCGGGAACUGCCUUUUGGACUGCAAGGGUAGAGUACGGCAGAGGGGGGUGGAAUUCCGCGUGUAGCAGUGAAAUGCGUAGAUAUGCGGAGGAACACCCAUGGCGAAGGCAACCCCCUGGGCCUGUACUGACGCUCAUGCACGAAAGCGUGGGGAGCAAACA